AUCUAACCAAAAUAUUGUCAUUUCAAUAUGUAGUCGAUCUUGAAAAUGACUACUGAUGUAUCUUGCGUUCUUUUUUUCAGGCUAAUUCUUUGAACUUUGGCGUGUAUUUUACACUUACAGCACAUCUCAAUCAGACCAGCCACAUUGCAAGUGCUCCAUAGGCACAUGUGGCAGGUGGCCACCGAGGUGGACAGCACAGCCCGAACAGAGUCCUUUCUGUUACUCUUCAGAAACAAUAGCUUUCUCCAUUCAGGACCACACUCCUGCAUGCCCUCUCCACCGCAUCAGCACCUGCGCCAUGGUUCACAGGUGGCCUUGGGAUUGUAAGGCAAGCGCUGUGCUUCUGUUCGCUUGCAGAGAGCCCUGAACUCAUGCUUCUGUCUGGGCAGCGGCCCUUGACAGCUGGGGCUCGCUCUUUCCUUCCCAGGGCGCCAUGGUUGGAUGCUGUAUCUUGCUAAAGUCAAACUUUCUACUUCGAAAAACUUUACAAAACUUCACAAAGGCAGAUUUUCUCUUACUUUUUAAAAACAGGUCUGUCAUUUCUUAAUUUUCUCUCUGGUACAUUUUCCAGCCAUUGUUUUGCUAAUAAUAGCUCUAAGCAUGCAAAUAAAGCUCAGUGGUAGUGGUAGAUUUGGGAAAUUGCUGCUAGCUUCCUCACAGCCUUAUCCUGCUCCUGUCAGCCAUUUCCCCAAGAAAAUGGACGUUUCAUCAGCACCAGGCUGCAUCUUAUUUGUGUAGCUUAUCAGCUACCGCCUCCUUCCAGGCCCAGAGAGAAGACAGAAACCUACAGGCUGCCCGCAAUGGCCCAGGAGGCGGGGUUUCCACCAGGAAGCAGCGCCUUUAUGAAUUAAGCACGUGACGCAUCUCAGCGUGGCCACGUCUGUAAGGUGAUAUGGAAGUUGUUUCUAAAUAUUGAGGUGACAACCACGACAACCUUUACAUCACUUGAGGAUGCUGCCUGUGUGUGUAGGUGCCGGAUAUAAGACGUGUAUGGAUUAAACGCACACGGACUCAUCCAACAACUUUACCUUGAGGAAGAUGAGUUGAGAAAGUUCGCCUUGUGCAUUGAACUAGAAAGAUAGACUCAUUAAUCUUUACAUUGGAAAAAUAAAAUAAGGAUUGGCUCCCUGGAAUUGGAAGUGAUUGCCCAAUAAUUAGAAGGAGGCCAAGCAAAAGAAGAAAGCAGACAAAUAGCAAAAUGAGAGGUGGGAUGGCACCAUGCUUUGUUCCCAAUAGGCACUCAUAUUUGCAGGGUUUCAUUAAAUGGAAAGGUUUGGGACUAGACAAUGGAUUACUUUGGGGACCCCCUCACAGCACUGCUCGUGGGGCAACAUGACCAGGAGGUGACCUGGAAUACCCACGCCCCUCCCAACCUCAGACAAGGAACUCCAGGAACAAGCCUGCCUGAGAGGGAAGCCAGUGCUUCCUCCAGGUGCAGGAAACUGAGCGGCCCUGUCCUUAGGGGCAGAGGCCACUGUGAUUUGCCUAUGGGGACAGCACUGCUCCGAGGUUCUGCUGGGUCCUUCCUGGGAAUGGCUCCUUCCCCACAAGCCUCAGAAAUCUGUAGGAG
This 1570-nucleotide long non-coding RNA is filed under the name Equus caballus (horse). RNAcentral's name for it is "lncRNA (ENSECAG00000037507.3)". Lineage: Eukaryota; Metazoa; Chordata; Mammalia; Perissodactyla; Equidae. The record is from RNAcentral.